This 1135-nucleotide long non-coding RNA is filed under the name Homo sapiens (human). RNAcentral describes it as "HSALNT0058535". The record is from RNAcentral. Lineage: Eukaryota; Metazoa; Chordata; Mammalia; Primates; Hominidae.
CAACCGUCUAGUUCUAAACAAUGAGCAAUGUUAAGCAAGUGACACCUGCUACCACCUCCAACCGAGGAGACCCACUUCAUGGAGGACAGCAAACAGUAUAAUACCUACCACCAGGAGCAGCACUCCUAGGAUGUCAACUCACUGCCUUGCUUGCAGGUGUUGGGGUCACCAAGAAAGGUUUAUCAGGACAUACCCCAUCAUAAGUCAAGGAGCAUCUAUACUACAUCAGAGGAAAAAAAGAACAAAUGGAUACUACCUGCAAUCAUAUGGCUCAAACUUUCAGACUUUAUGUUAAGUAAAUGAAGCCAGGUUAAAAAGAGUACAUACUCUAUAAUUCCAUUUAUAUGAAGUUCAAAAACAGGCAAAACUAAUUGAUUAUAACAAAAUCUAGAGUCUUAGUUUCCUUGAAGUCACUGGGUUUUGACUGAGGAGGGGCAUGAAGGAAAUUUCUGGCUGUUGGAAAUGUUACAUCUCAAUCUAAGUGGUAGUUAUUUGGAUAUGAGUGUAAAAGUUCCUUGAGCUGACACUUAAGAAUAGUGUGCUUUACUCACUUUAUUAUGCAUAUGCUAAAAGUCAAUAUUAAAAUUUGGUUUAAAAUCUGCUCUGAAUCAUUUGACCAUGAACACAUUGGCUAAUAUGCCACAUCAUAAAAUACCACAGUGAAACAUCACAGUGAUACAUCUAAAUAUGCCACCAUCCUGACACUCUUCUUAAACUUAUUCAUCCUGGAUAUGCAGUGACCUUUAUGUUUUUAAGGUGAUAUAUUUUAAAAGAACAUGAAUUUUGAAUUGUUUACUCAGUUUCAGUAACAGAUAUGCUCAGACUUGUCUGUGUUCUGAGAUUUAGCUGCUGUUAUCAGCAACAUGUAUUUACCAACAAACCAGGUGCAGAGAUGCAAUAACAUGUACAGUAUAUGCCCACUAGUAAUCAUAUCAGCCAGCAAUAAUGUAACCUGAUGCAACAAAUAGAUUAUUUCAAGUGGGGUAAAAUUGAAUUUUUAUAAAUGGAAGCCUACUAAAACUCCAUUUUCAAGAUUUAUUUUUGCUAAUUUCUCCAUCCAAAUCAGCAAAACAAGUAAUUAAUUAGCUGAAGCCACUUAAAUAUAAUGUUUCUUAAAAUAUUUCUUUAAUAAGAU